This 439-nucleotide ribosomal RNA is filed under the name uncultured bacterium. Its description in RNAcentral is "partial 16S ribosomal RNA". It matches the Rfam family "Bacterial small subunit ribosomal RNA", at positions 339 to 795 of the family's 1533-position model. The record is from RNAcentral.
CUACGGGUCGCACCAGUGGGGAAUAUUGCACAAUGGAGGAAACUCUGAUGCAGCAACGCCGCGUGGAGGAUGACACUUUUCGGAGCGUAAACUCCUUUUAUAUAGGAAGAAGAUGACGGUACUAUAUGAAUAAGCGCCGGCUAACUCCGUGCCAGCAGCCGCGGUAAUACGGAGGGCGCAAGCGUUACUCGGAAUCACUGGGCGUAAAGAGCGUGUAGGCGGAUUAAAAAGUCAGAAGUGAAAUCCUAUAGCUUAACUAUAGAACUGCUUCUGAAACUCUUAAUCUAGAAUAUGGGAGAGGUAGAUGGAAUUUCUGGUGUAGGGGUAAAAUCCGUAGAGAUCAGAAGGAAUACCGAUUGCGAAGGCGAUCUACUAGAACAUUAUUGACGCUGAGGCGCGAAAGCGUGGGUAGCAAACAGGAUUAGAUACCCCUGUAGUC